Oncorhynchus tshawytscha (Chinook salmon) is the source of this 446-nucleotide long non-coding RNA. RefSeq lists it as uncharacterized. NCBI's taxonomy places the organism in Eukaryota, Metazoa, Chordata, Actinopteri, Salmoniformes, Salmonidae. The transcript has 2 exons. The record is from RefSeq and is a predicted model, not a curated record.
UCAAACAUGGCUAGGCUGAUAGAGCACCUUCAACAUGGCUAGGCUGAUAUAACAUAAUUAGAUUACCAAAGUUAAUGAUGCCUUCUUGAACUAUGUGUUUAAACUAUAGCAAUACAGUAGGAUGUUCUUACUAGUAGAAGUCUUGAAUGAAUGAACAAUCCAUGAGUAAUCCACGUGGAGAUUGAAGCUGUGUUUUAUAGUUGUAAGUGGAAAUGUUGAUAUUUGGUUAUGAACUCAGACAGCCACGUAGGUUGCUCCAGAGGGUAGUGGAUAUGAACUCAGACAGCUGAGUAGGUUGCUCAGAGGGUAGUGGAUAUGACAGACAGCCAAGUAGGUUGCUCAGAAGGUAGUGGAUAUGACAGACAGCCAAGUAGGUUGCUCAGAAGGUAGUGGAUAUGACAGACAGCCACGUAGGUUGCUCAGAGGGUAGUGGAUAUGACAGACAG